CUAAUAUUAUUUAUAGGUACUGAGGGCCAUUAUGUAAACUACUGAGUAAAUAUAAAAACAAGAUGGCGGAGUACAUGCUGUUUGUGGUUGUUUGUGGCCGAAAUAUCUCCAAGCAAAGCAAGAUAGAAAAGAAUUGUAAAGGGUCUUCAUACAUCAUUUUAAAAGUUGAGACAACAGAAAAAAGGUUUUAGCAGCUACCGCCAUCCUUUUAGAUGCAAAGAUAAAAAGGUUUAAAAAAACUUUUUUUUCUAUUUUGUCCUUGAAGACAUUAUUAGUUUGGUAGACUUUGUAAAACUACUUUGUAAAACUACAUUAUAACUGAGGCAUGAGAGUAACCCAAACAUGUGAAUUGGGUGGCCAACUGCAUAAAGUUAAACAUGCGUUAGCCGAUUAAAUGCAUUUAACGAGACCAAACCUUAUAUUGUAAAUACUAAAUGAAACUUUUAUUAAUGUUAUUGCUUUAUAUAAAAUUCUUUUUUGACAAACCAAAUCAGAUUAUACCCAUGAAAGAAAGAAAUAACACUGACUGAAGGCUGACCCAAGACAACCCUCAACCCUGUAGCUAUUGAUACACACCCAACCUCGUUCCCAGGCUCUUUCCUCUAACGAGAUUUUAAAAUCUUAUUUUAGAAAUGAAUAAAAUUAAAUUAACAUUUUUGAACCUUUUUAAAUAAAGUUUUAUCCUGAUUAAAAAUUGAAGGGAAAAAAUGAAUAAUUUACCCUCCACCAAGAAGGGAAUACACGAAAACACUCUACAGAAGUUCAACUUCAAUUGUGGAAGAAGUUAUUUCGUUGACGUUGACCUCAGAAUGACAUUUUUCAAAAUUGGUUUAGAAACGAACUUGGAGUAGGGUUAGGUUAGGGUUAGGACAAGGAUUAGGGUUAGAGUUGGUGUUUGGAAUAGGGUUAGUGUUAGUAAAACCGUUGCUUUGUUACGUUUUGUCAUUCUGAGGCCAGCGAAAUAACCUCUUCCUUCAAUUGUUCAGACGUUAAGCAAUAAUUACGAAAUCCUUGCGCAUUUUGAUUUCUACUUUACUACAAAAUAGUUUUUUUAUAAACUCUAUAAAAUAAUAUUGUUAUUAAAUUCAAAUGUUAUCUCCAUUAUACGAAUGCAUUAUGCGUGCAAUUGGACGUUCAAUAUGUCUAGCGUAAAACUCCCGUCAGAUACCACCAUGUAGUGCUCAGAAUUCACCUUAAAUUAAGAUUGCAGCGCUUCCUCUGUGUUAAGUGCUUGCCGGUUUCUUCUCCAGUUUCUCAAAGUGUCUCCUGGCGUUAUGAAUAUUGAUUAACGUUGCGGCAGAUGCUGUAAAAUUUGAAAAAUAAUUCAUUCAAUAUGAAACUACAGCAUAUAGAGCUUUGCACAUGACGUCACAGCCGCCAUGUUGGUGUUCCAAUUCAAAAGAAUUUUAAUUAG
Non-coding RNA from Paramuricea clavata, 1414 nucleotides. Lineage: Eukaryota; Metazoa; Cnidaria; Anthozoa; Malacalcyonacea; Plexauridae. The record is from the annotation of a GenBank genome assembly.